This 411-nucleotide ribosomal RNA is filed under the name Colobodactylus taunayi. Its description in RNAcentral is "partial 12S ribosomal RNA". It matches the Rfam family "Bacterial small subunit ribosomal RNA", at positions 771 to 1402 of the family's 1533-position model. The record is from RNAcentral. Lineage: Eukaryota; Metazoa; Chordata; Lepidosauria; Squamata; Gymnophthalmidae.
UCUGGGAUUAGAUACCCCACUAUGCCCAGACAUUAACAAGACACAUAGUCCACCAGAAAAUUACGAGCGAAAGCCUAAAACUCAAAAGACUUGACGGUGCCCCAACCUACCUAGAGGAGCCUGUUACAUAAUCGAUAAUCCACGAUCAACCUAACCACCCCUUGAAACCACAGCCUAUAUACCGCCGUCGUCAGCCCACCUUAUUAAAGAAAUAAAGCAGGCUAAAUAGUAUUACACUAAAAAGUCAGGUCAAGGUGUAGCUAAUGGUGUGGAGAUAAUGGGCUACAUUUUCUAAUAUAGAACAUACGAACUAAUAUCUGAAAACAAUUACAAAGGUGGAUUUAGCAGUAAGUUAGACAAGAAUAUUUAACUUAACAUAGCCCUGGGGCACGUACACACCGCCCGUCACCC